Molecule: transfer RNA, 69 nt
Filed under: Capra hircus (goat)
Lineage: Eukaryota; Metazoa; Chordata; Mammalia; Artiodactyla; Bovidae
Also listed under: 1 other name
Rfam family: tRNA
About the family: Transfer RNA (tRNA) molecules are approximately 80 nucleotides in length. Their secondary structure includes four short double-helical elements and three loops (D, anti-codon, and T loops).
Source: Rfam by way of RNAcentral
UCAUAAGCUCAGUUGGCAAAGAAUCUGCCUGCAGUGCAGGAGACCCAGGUUCAAUUCCUGGUUUAGGAA